Molecule: long non-coding RNA, 282 nt
Organism: Scomber japonicus (chub mackerel)
Lineage: Eukaryota; Metazoa; Chordata; Actinopteri; Scombriformes; Scombridae
Exons: 3
Source: RefSeq, a predicted model, not a curated record
GCUGAAUUUUUAAGUUCAAUUGAAAUAUAUCAGACUAAUCCUGAUGAACUUCCUGCAAACAUAAUGGACAACUUACAUCAGACUUACCCAAACUACACCAAUCUCACCAUUGAUUACAUCUGUUCUGAUUCUGACAAUAACUUCAAGACUGUGUCUGAGCUGGAGCCUUUCACAGACUACACCUGUACUGGUCAGAUCAAGGAAAACAAUGUCAACAAAAAAACCACGACUGCUAUCAUUGUCAACGUUAAGUGUGAUCUUCAAAUUGAAAAUGUAGAAAAA